Molecule: regulatory RNA element, 85 nt
Organism: Oceanithermus profundus DSM 14977
Lineage: Bacteria; Thermotogati; Deinococcota; Deinococci; Thermales; Thermaceae
Rfam family: c-di-GMP-II-GAG riboswitch aptamer
Source: Rfam
UGAAGAGCAGGAGGCAGUGAACCGUCUUCCGCAACGCGGGCGCCUGGAAGACGGGGAGCCAGUGGCGCGACCGGCCUCGUCCGCG